GUGGUGCAGCAAACUGCAACACUCAUCAACAUAUGAUAUGAUGGAUACAUGUCACCAACAUAUCAAGUGUUUUUGUAGUUUCGAGUGCAGACAAAUUUCACUCCAUUAUGUUCUGCAUCAGCUACAAGCAACAAUCCCGCAAUUAUUGGAGUUCAUCAUCCUGUGGACUAUAUUCAUUUCUUGAACGUUUUGGGUUGAAUGCCGAAUUAUUUAUAGAUGUAAUGAUGAUAUCUUUAGAAUGUCGGGAUGUAUCGGAGGUAAACUCUUAAGAAGAACCGGUGAUACCGAUGAAGUCACGUAUAAACUUCUAUUACGCAAUUCAUUUGAUUUUGGAGAAAAAACAUUCACCCUAUCGUCGGUCAUGUGUAUAAAAAAAAAAAAGUGAAGUAAGAGCAAACAAAAACUGCCUUAGAGUUACAGAACCUCGAUCAUGAAAUGAAGCAAUUACUUCUUUCUAUAUCAUUUCAUGUAAACAGUGAUAACCAUUUAUGGUUAUAAUUAUGAUUGAUAUGGUGUAGAAAACAAAAAAUAUAUGAUUCCUUGUAUGUUUAGGAAUAGUAAGUAUCGAAUGAGGAGAAUAGGAUCACAUCAAGCAAAUAAGAAUACAUGACCGUAAAGAAUUAUAUGACGAACUUCAAGUUAAUGCACGAUUACAAGUUUACAACCAAAGCAAACCGAGCCAAGUCGUCUAAUAAGCUCUACACGAAGACAUAAUCUAGGAUAACCACACGCAUGUAAUCGCCUUAUCUUGAAGCCUCCAAAUCUCAAACACGUUCAAACCCCUUUUGCUUUCUUGGAAUGUCCAUCACAAUUCACAAGUGAAAACAACAACAUGCAAUUAUAAUAACACCCGAAUGGAAAACGUGUAUAACCAAGGAAGCUUUAUAUAUAAAAGCCAAUCAAAGACUCCUUUGCACCAUCACAGUUCACAAAACUAGAAUCUUCUAGCCUUAGCUUUCUUCAGCAUCCACGCCAUUAAUGGAAGCAGAGCAAAUGAUGGAGCUCUUUGAUUCUUUCUGGUUUGAGCUUGAAAUCCUCAAGAAACAACCAUCUUCAGCAACCUCAUCAAGAUUUGAAGCAGACCUAGUUCAUGAAAAUGAAGAUCAACAACCAUCAAAACCAGAGGUCUUACAGAUUCCAAGCCUCCAUACUAGAUCCCUGAGCGACGAUUUGAGCUCCGAAACUAGCUUUAUCAACUGCGGUUCUCUCUCGCCAGACUCAGUCCUCCACAGACCGAAGCUUAGCACCAUUGUUUCUGGAAAAGAAGUCACAGCUUCAAUGGCAGAUAAUAUUCCUGUAUUACAUAAACAUGAAGUAAAGUCAUCAAACAAGGCUAAAAUUGAGAGAAGAAGAAAGAAGAGCGGGAGCAAGAGCUUGACAGACCUUCAGUUUGAGGAGCUUAAAGGGUUUAUGGAUCUGGGAUUCGUCUUCUCAGAAGAAGACAAAGACUCAAACUUGGCUUCCAUCAUUCCUGGUCUGAAGAAAUUAGGUGUAGACGACGAUGAAGCUUUUGAUGAUGAGUCUGCGAUUUCAAGGCCUCAUCUUUCUGAAGCGUGGGAGGUGAUGGAGAAGAGAAAGAAAGAGAAGAAUCCAUUGAUGGAUUGGAGGUUUCCAUCUUUGAGCAAUGAAAUGGACAUGAAGGACAAUCUCAGAUGGUGGGCUCAUACUGUUGCUUCCACAGUUAGAUGACAUUGAAGCUAGUCUAAUUGUAAAUUUUGCUUUACUUUCUCUUUUCAAUUCUUUAUACGGAAGGUUUAGAUCAACCAAAUUGUUCUUGAAUCUUUGUAAAUGUGAAUAAUUUAAGGUAUACCAUUCUUGCGCUUUUCUGGUGCUUUGCUCUGCAUUUUGGUUUAUUAUUGAAUUUCUUGGAUUUGGAGUAGGCAGAACCGCAGAAAAGUAUGAUAGCAUUAAACUUUCUCAGCCUUCAAGUUCCUGGAAACAUGCAUGUGUGCUUGCUUAAGCACCAUAAUUACUCGUUAUCGUGUUUAAGUGUGAGAGAGAUCGAUGUCUUUCGUUUCUCACCAAAGGGUCUCGACAGUCGUCAUUAUAUAUUCUAGUCAAUCCCGGCCACAGCAGGUAGAGGACGUUAAUACGAACAUGUAAAAAUUAUCAGGUAAAAAAGAGAGAGAGGGAUUUAAUAUUUUCGGAUAGAAGUUUUUAAAGGAGACUUUCCGGUAUUGGAAAGUCAGCAGCCCACUCUCUCUUCCUCACUCCCUCCCCGCGCGCCCUCGACCCGGUCCCAUCCUCCACCACCAAUCGUCGCCGUCCGGCCAGCACAAACCGCCGCACCGGUCUCAAUCGAUCCACCGUCGUCUCCUCCAUCUUUCUGGGCUGGGGAUCGAGUCUUUAACGCUGCCCUUUGAAGGGAAUCUCAACUGGAAGUCUGACUGCACAUUGAGGAGUUCUUGCCGGAAUAUCUCCCUCCUCCGGUAAUCAAUCCGAGAGCUCUAUAUAUGGUUUUGAAGGUCUUCGCUCGUGUAUCAAUUCCCUAAAAGGAAUCAAUCCAAUUCAAUCUAAGCAAAGAGAUUCGAAGGUUUGAAGCUCUAGGGUUUCAAUUUGGGAUUUUUAUUGUUUUGGUUCGAUUACCCUAUCUAGGGCUUGAAAUUGAUGUUUGUGUUAAAUUUUGGUGAACAUUGGAAGUGGCUGGAGAAGGGUUGGUCGGCCGGAUCUUUUGGGUAGUUUUUUCUGUUAUUAAAUUUGUUAUGUUGAGAGGAGUCUGAUGGUGUGAAGUCUGUAAUUUUUAGAGAAGUUUUGGUUAGGUUUGGAAUUUUUUAAAGAUUGGUGAACUUGACGGUUAAUAGGGUAGGGUCCGGCCGUUGGAUUAGCAUUGUUUAAACUGUAGAAAGUUGUUUUCAAGCUGUCGAAUUCUUGGGGUGAAAUUCGGGCCUUAUUGUGUUAAGAAUGGGGAAGUUGGGCAAAGACGAGCGUUGUAUAAGAUUAUUUAAACUGUAGAAAGUUGUUUUCAGGUUGUCGAAUUCUUGGGGUGAAGUUUGGGCCGUAUUGUGCUAAGAAUGGGGAAGUUGGGCAAGGACGAGCGUUGUAUAAGACUCAUUUUUAUUCUGCCUAUUUAUAUAAGUAUCAAAUUUUAGGUGGGGAUUUAAUUAUAUAUUUUGAACAAGAUGUGAGGAGGCUCGAGCUGAAGAGACCUCAUAUCAACGUCAGACUUAGGCCUAAAUUUAUGAGUGGACCUUUGUUUUUAUAUUAUAUGCAUGCAACUGGAUUAAUGUUGAAUAGUUUCUUUUUGUUGGAGCAUAUAACGUUAUUUUUAAUUUGGCAAUUUUCUUUAAUUUGUGUGUGUGUAUAUAUAUAUAUAUUUAUGAGGAUAGUAUAUAUAUAAAUACUAGCUAGCCAUAUGUGCCUUUCCAUCAUAAUGGUGUAACAAUUAGCCGCCAAUAUGGUGUGACGUGAGAAUGGGACGCAAACGUCGUAACUCUAUAUGAGUGUAAGUACUCAUAUAGGGGAUAUUUAUCACGUAUAUAUACACGUCUUUUCCGUCAUAAUGGUGUAGCGACUAACCUCACCAUGAUGGUGUAACGUUAGUGUAGGACGCAAGCGUAGUAGCCUUGCAUGAAUUCUUAAAUUUACAAGAAUUCAUACAAUUCAUACAAGAAGUAUGACGUGUGUAAAUACAUACUUAUAUACUAUAGCCUAGGAGGCUCAAUAUUAUAAAGUAUUGGAGACUAGCGGGGCUAGUCACGUAUUUUCUGUAUUUGUCAAUUCAUAAGUAAAUGCUUUAAAGCUUGUCGCAUGCAUCACAGCUUUUCUAUAUAAAUUGAAUCGGGAAAGCAUAAAUUUAUUUAUUUGUUCAUUUAUUUUAAUUUUACUUUUGUCCACUCACUUUAACGUUUUCAAAUAUUUUCUCUUGGGUAAUUUCAUUUUUAAUUGCCCAGUCUGCAGAGUUCGGGUCGGUACUAGUAAGAGGCGAGGCAUAGUUACCAAACAUCACUACCACUUUUCACCUGUAGGUUACAUGUUUAACCUACCGGUGUAUUUUCUUGUUUCCUCUAGUUUUAGUAGCUCUGAUUACCUUGGGGGUAUUGUAUAAUAUUCGUUGUAUGUUAAGACUCAUGAUUCUAUUUUAGAAAUAUGUGAAGGAUAGCGUAUAAUUUAUCUUUUGGAUGUUUAAGUGAUGAUUUAAUGUUAUUGUGGGGAGCGGAUGGCUCCAGGAGUUGAGGAUGAAUGGUUUAUUAUAGAAGUGUUUAUCUGGAUUUUGCAGGUUAGGGUUGUCCAUUUGCAAGGGAGGUUAUGCCGAAUCUUCGAUAAAUUUUCUUUAGAGGUGGACCCCGCAGGAUUUACUUCAGGUUUCAGGGUGAAAUUCGAGGUGGGUCCUGACACUUUCUCUUGUUCUUCACUUUCACCAUAUAUAACCAAAUACAUAGUUGAUUUCCAAUUAUACCAAAGAUCCACCGGGAGAUCAAUCAUGAAAGUAUAAAUUGAUGAUAUGAGAACAGUUUUCAAAUAACUUGAUAGCAUCUUUAAGCAGCCAUGGCAGAUAACCCUAAAACACAUAUAUUGCUGAUUUUAAUUCACUUUGGUAUAAGAUGAUGGUGUACACUGGGAAAAUAGAGAAGAGAAACGAGAAAGAGAGAGAGAGAGAGAGUUUGUCUUCAAGCCCUCAAUUUCCUAAAAGUGGACAAGUGGGCAUAACAGGAAAAGUUUGUUGAGGUGUGACUAUAAGGGAGCCCUUCUAGUAAAGACCUUUAAGUUGAGGACUAGUUAAAGACUUUUCGAUUUAUGGUUUAAAUCUAUUUUUCGAUCACAUUUUGACAUUUCAUCCAUUCAGUUUUUAGGUCUAUAUGAGUAAAUUAUAUAUACAAAUUUUCAGUUAGAUAAGUGUUCGUUAAGAUAACAAACUAGAUCAAAUUAAUAGACAAACCAAAUCUGUCAAAUAUGAACCGUUCAAGUUCAUAAUUAGUAAAUUACACUUAUGAUUGCCUAAACGAUUUUUAAUAUGACUGAAAAUUUGCAUAAAUGAUAUACUCAUAAAUACCUAUAAGAUCAAAAAGUUGGAUAAGCCGAAGAGUUCUCAAUUAGUCCUCAACUUAAGGACUCCCGUGACUAGAAUCACCCUUUAAUUUGAUUGGAAAAAAGAAGUUUUCUUUUAAUUUUAAUUAUUAUUUGUUGCUAAACUCAGAGGCAAGAUACGUUUGAAUGAAUGACACAUGUUCAUUUAAUAUGUGGCCGUGUGGUUAUGGACCAUUUGUUUGUUGGUCUUGAUGUUUUGGACCUUAUGUUUUACAUUAUGUUUGUACCCUUUUGUGGGCUUUCCCUUAGUGGGUCUGUUUGUAUUAAUCUGGGUUAUUUUUUUAUUUUAAUAAAAUUCUCUAUUUAAUCUAAAAAAUAAAAAAAUGUGUUGCGAAAAACCGACGACGAAAAAGAUCUCUUAUAUAUUUAUUUAUUUUACCUGAAAAGGAAUAAAUAAGAGUACCGAAAGAACAGUUCGCACUCGAAAUAACAAGAAAACGAAAAGGGACCAAUUUGCCGUCGUUCGCGCCAAACCCAACCCUAAAUCCCCAAUUUCGCAGGCAUGUCUUCGCGAUCCAAGGGUCCAAGGAAUCGUGAACUCAAAUUGAUCCAAAAACGAGAUAAGCCUGGGGGUAUUUGCUUUUCCCUUUUCCUUAGUCCGCAAUUUCGUCUUUGUUUCAUUCUAUCUGGGAAGGAACACCUAUAUUUAGUAUGUGUUUGAUUUUUGUUCUAGGUUUUGUUAGGAUUUUGCUUAUCAAACUCACAAAAAAGACUGUUGCUCAUUUUUUUUUAUCAUACAUUGAUUUCUGGGUUUGGUUUCUUGUUUGUUUGUGUGUAAUUAUCUGACAAUGUUAUUUCAAACAGGUUGCAAAGUCAGAAAAUCAAAGUCUUCUCCUGCUGGGCCUUCACCUGGUAAGAGUUUGAAUUUUCUUGUUUAAGGUGUGAUCUGUUGAUUGCCGGAAUAUAGUGUCCGUGUUUUUAAUAUCACUUCACCAGCCAAUGAUUUUUGGUUUUACAUUAUGUGGUCUAUAUUGACAUAGAAUAAGAGGGAAUAUAGCUUUUAAAGAUAGUUUCAGCAGCAAAAAAAAUCUUGGGUACAAGGCAGUUAAUAUAGAGUAACCACUGUUGAUGGGCUCAUAGAUCUCAUUGCAUGGAGUCUUCGAUUAAUUUUUAGUAUUAAUCAGAGAUUUAUUCUUGCCUUUUCUUAUGCCACAACAUUGAUAUCCUGCUACUAUCUGAUGUCAUGUAGUCAGAGUACCGGUGCAGUAGCAUUUUUGUUUGUCAGUCAUGGGAGCUUUGCUGCACAGCCAAUCUCUUGUUUUUCUUUUAAUUUUUUUUUUUCUAGUUACCUUGGAUUUUCUUGUUAGGAUCUCUCUCUCUCUUUUUCUUUUUGGAAUUUCUUGCAAUGCUUGUUAUCGUUAGAGAAUUCAUCUUUCCAUUGCAGGCUGUUGUGUACCCCCUCUGUUUUUCUGAUGUGGAUAAUGUGGACCCCCUUGAUGUGUGUUUACAGUCAACAGAUAAUUAUUGAUCAAACUAGUCAAUCACUAAACUAAAAACUACAAACGUAAUAUACAGGAAGGAAAUAAAUAUAAACUUGCCCCUCAGACCCAUUCCAAGCCUAGCUAUUAUCAUUCAAUGGAUGCAUCCUUCGAGUGUGUGUCCCAUUUAGUAUGCUUUUGAUUUUGUUCUAUGUUCUAUGGAAGAUUAUCUGCACUUCCAUUGGCUUCUGUUGUGAACGAAAGAAGUAACCAUUUUUGUUGGUGUAAUUAGAGGAUAACCAAAUGGUUGGACCCAUUUUGCUUGAAUAUAGUUUCUUGUGUAUAUUGGUUCGUACAUGUUGCAUAUCCCACAUUGAGUAUUAUAGUUUGAAGAUGACUUGUCCUCCAUUAAUUUCACUUUGAUAUCCUGCAUAGAAUAAUUCAAAGAGACUAAUUGUUGAUGAGAUCUAACAUCUCAUUGUCUAUGUGACUACUUACGUCAUUACAGGAAAUACUGCCUAAAAUUUUCAUUUCUGGUCUGUGCUUGAUGCAUUGCUGAUACAUCAAGUUUAGUAUAUAUGCCUUGCAGCUAUGUUUCAUAUAGCAUUAAUUUUUUUAUUUUAUUUUAUUUAUUUAUUUAUUUUUUGCUGUUCUGAGAUAAUACUAUUUAGAGUCAUGUGGUGAUAGUAAUGUUGUUUUGAGAUAAUACUAUGUUUCAUUACUUCCUCAUUAUCUUCUGCUUUAUAUUUUGUCUGACAAAUUAAUUGUAAACAGGUGCUGUGACAUCUUCUCGUUUCCCCAGUGCUGAUGGUGACCAUAGUACUGAUGGUAAGAUGUUAGUUCUUGUUUUAAGGUCUUUGAGAAUAUUAUCUGGUGUAACGAUAGGAUAACCAAGCUUCUGGAUCAGUAUGUGUUUGAGAUAAUCUCUGGUGCCAAUACGUACUGAUUUGUGCUUGAUCGUACUUGACAUUGAAUAAUAUAGUUUUUGGAAGCAGCUCCAUCAGAGUCAUUUUGAUAGCUUCUACAAGAUAUAUGAAGAAGUCUACACUAUUAGACUAUUUUUCAAAAUUGGGCAAAUCUUUCAAUAUUAUUGUUCACUUCAAUAAUGGCAUUAUGGUAAACAGCAAAUAAAAUAACAAAUCAUUUAUUAGUUUUUAUUUUUGAUUUUAAAUGCAUUUCUUUUACUAUGGUCAUAAGACAAAUAAUUUAAUUGUCUGAACUGUCACUUUAAGAGUAUGUGUGGGCAUGUGUUGAUUGGAUCUUACAUCUCCUUGCAUGCACAACUUCUCUUUAUAUUUUUUUUUUGUGUGUGUUUUUAUUUCUUUUCUUCCUCUCUAAUGACACUGAUAUAUCUGUUAUUCAUUUUUUCAAUGUUAUGGCCAUUGUACUGGUUUCUGGGUUUUGUCAUCAUUGUCAUCCUAUUCAUUCAUAUUUUGGUACUUUUACUUAUUAGUAUUAUUUCAAUGUAUGUGUGAAACAGGGGACAAGGCGAAGGAACUCAGGCUUGCCAAAAUGUGUGUCAUCCGCGACUGUAUGGUUUUUAUUUUAGUUGUACAUUUUGUGAGCUGUUAUUUUGGGUUUUUCUGAAGGACAAAUCAAAAUGAUGAUUUUGUCUUCCGUAGUUUGAGGAAUACUGAGCCAAGCUUUUGGAUCAGUUUGACAUUUGAAGACAAUUCUCUAGCUUAGUCAGUAUGAUCUGCAUGAUGCAUAGUUGAUACCAAUGGUUUUUUACAAAGCCUUAAGCCUUAAAACCCUUGAAGAGUAGGGUUUUUUUUAUUUGCUUUGUAUAUAUAAAAAGUAAAUUUUAGGUAGAACAUAAUAAUGAUCUAGUAUUCGUCUUAAAGAAAAACCUUUUUCUUUCUCUGUUUUUUUUGUUUUGGAUCACAUUCCUAAGAAAAGUAAAACCUUCGUUUUGCCUUCCUUACUGUACUAUUCAAAUCAUAGCACUUUAGGGUUAUUACAGUGUCGCCCAUGCGUUUUUAUUAGCUUUUUAUCUUUCUAUCUGACAAUAUAAUUCGAACAGGGUGCAAGGAUUCUUGUAUCUACUACAAUCCCAUGGAACUCCGUAUUGCCGAGGGUAAGAUUUUGAUUUAUGUUUUUAAGUUUCUUUGGCUCUGAAAAUAAUAAUAAUAAUAAUAAUAAUAAUAAUAUAUUAUUACUAUUACUAUUAUUAUUAUUAUUAUUAUUAUUAUUAUUAUUAUUAUUAUUAUUAUUAUUAUUAUUAUUAUUAUUAUUAUUAUAAUAUAUUUUGCAAUACUGUGAAAUCAAUUUACUGAGGAUAACUUUACUAGCCAAGUGAAUUUGGUUUUUCCAUUAUGCAUAGGUGAGCUAGAUUACUAUUAUUAUGAUCUUUUUUUGAAAGUUAUCUUCUCCAGCCAAUUCAUUUUGCUUUGUCUGGUCGCUGCAUAGCCUACUGUUAUAUAUAGGGCAGCUGCUUUUAUAUGGGUCAUAGAUCUCAUUGCAUCUAUGUAUCACUUAUAAUAGUUUUGUCGGAGAACUAUUGUUUUUUCUUUCAUAUUCGUAGUCUUAUUGUUCUUCUUUUAGUCUUAUUAUCAAUAUUUUGUGUGUAAUGAUGUAUCUGUUUAACAGGUGCUGAGCUGGUAAAACCAAAGAAGACUCCCACUUGUCCCCACCAGGGUAUGCUUAAUUCUGUUAGAGUUUGCUGUUAAAAUUAUCUUGGAUUUGCUUGAGCAUUGACAUGGUUCCUUAUAUUUUGCAAACAGGUAACAAGAAUGGUUUUAGUUUCAUCUAUUGUAAACCCGAGUGUGCCGGUAGUGUUACUGGUAAGUUACUUUUUUUUGUUGUUGUGUGAGGUUUGUGAGAUUAUAAUGUUGGAGGUUUCUUGAGCUCUUAGUAGUGUAGAAAAUGAUCGCAUUUUUUGUCAUUGUAAUUAGACAAAUACUGUGCGAUCAAUCUGAUUUUUUAAGAUUUAUGGUCGUUUUAUUCCAAAAUUGAAACCGUAAGUCUUAUUAAAUUUUAGUCUGAGAUUUAUAAUAGGUUUCCAUGAUGCAUUUGCGUUGCACAUAAACAGUCAUUUUUGCUCUUAUGCUACCAUUCAAUGUCAUGUGGAUAGUUAUAAUAGUUAGAUACAUAUUCGCUUUGCUUGUGACCCAUCAUCUUUCCGUUGCUGGUGCUUUACCAUCUGAUAUUCUCAUGUAGUCACUGUCUUGAUGUUUUGGGAUUUGAUAUCAUAAUAUAAAUAUAUAGUGUGCGUAACACGGACCCUUAGAAGAGCACAUGUACCUAAGGCACAUGCAACUCUCCUGGUGUCCGUGCGAUUUUGUUUUCAGUUACCUUGAAUUUGUUUGAACUAUGUGUUACGUUGGAAAAUAAGUCCUUUUAUAGGGUAAAAGACCCAAAACCACCCUUGUUCUGGUAUUCACUCGCUAUCUAACUUUUUUGAAAACCUAAGUUGCCCUGUUAUUAGCUUGGUGGUAUAAUUAAGAGUCAAACUUUUCACAGCAGCAUGUUGAACAACGUGAAUGGAAUUGUUGUCAAUUAAAAAGUCACUAGUCACAUGAAAAAAUAGGGGAAUUGCGGUUUAUUACCCUAGCCUACCAUCCUACGCCCAUAUUCUUUCAUGUAAUCAAACUUCCCCUGCAAUCUUGCAAUUCUUCAUUCUUGCUAUUCUUGGAGACUCCAUCCAUAGUCCUUGUUGCCUGCUAAUAUGGGUAUGAUGGUCCCUGUCUGUUCUAACGUGACUUAAAAAAAGAAUGGUAGCGUCCUUCAGUAGAAUUAGUCAAAAAAUAAAACGAUAAAAUAGUAACUGGGACGAAGAGUAAAGUAACCUCCCCUUGUGGGAGAAGGGUCUCUUUGACUACCUUUCCAAGCCUAUUCAUUACUGGAUCUGCCGCUUCAAAUGAUACUUUGGGUCAAUUUGGGUUUUCUAGAUAAGUAAUCCAGCUAAGCCAUAUUGAUAGCCUACAUUAUUUUUUAUGUGAUCAGAUCAUUUUGCAUUCCAGCUCCUCACUUUCAUUAAGCAUUCGUUAUUGCUCUUUUUUGUGUGUGGUAGUAUCCAUUAUCUGACAAUAUAACCACAAACAGAUCCUGUCCUUUUGGGCUGUGGUUUUGAUCGCUGCAACAUCAAGGAUAACUCCAGUGAUCCUGGUAAGCUGUUGACUUUUGUAGUAAUGUUAUUCUGGAAUACCUUACCUCCUUCGGCCCUUUUUACAGAGAACAGAUGGUUUUUAAAAGGCAACUUAACCAUGUAGCAAGUGGUUUUGGUUUUCAUUCAUUAUUUAUAGCCUACGUAGAACUGUUUGGUUAUUAUAGCAGUUAACAGUUCCCGUGAACAGGUAGCGAUGAAGAACAAAAGGGUACUAAACACUUGGAGAUGACAGUUGACCCUUCUGGUAUGUCUGCGAUUUAUUCUAUUUGUAAUUCUUUUUUGGUUACCUAAGCAUUUUGGAAAGCCAACAAACUAACCCUACUGUUCGUUUGAUUUACUCUGUUUGAAAUAUUAGUGUUCCAAGUGUUGAAUUUUAUUUGGUGAAAAAGAACAAAGUUUAUUCAAUUGCUAAGUUAAUUGUUGAGCGCGCAUUUAUGAUUUUUUGCCUAAACAAUUGAAAAGUUCGCUAGGCAAUGCAAAAAACAAGGAUUUAAGGUUUGUUCCCUGACAUUGUUACACCUUUUCAAGUUGCAGAUACUGUGUGUGUGUCAUCAAUUCCUUUGGAGCGUCACCUGUUGGAUCCUCCUGGUUGGAUUUGGUGACCUGGGGUUUGCUUCAACUGUGUUGGAUAUGAAGUGUAUCUAUUGUAUUCACGCUGACAGUUAUUCCCAAAUGUUUGUGAGGAAUUUCUCGAUCUAUAUGUAUAUAUUUAAGGUUAAACACUGAUAUGGCGAUAUGUAGUUAAAGGUUCAUUUUAUUUUCGAUGGUUUUCUAAUAUUUGAGGUCUAAAGUAUACUGGCGGUCUAAUAUUUGAGGUGACCUAAUUUUAAAAAAUUAGAGAAAUUUCAUCGUACGGUCCAAAAUGUUGGUUCAUGUGGAUCAUCCCGACGUAUUGCACGAGUUAUGCUUUCUCUUUGGUUAAUGAUCUGGUUCGGCUAGUCCGGACCCUGCAUUUGAGGUAUGAACGGCUGCUUAGACGGUGUUGUAGAUUGCAUAAAUGAUCAACCACUACGGUACACUGUUUUGGCCACGAUCCUCGGCAUGGGUAGAGAGGUAACUUAGCAGAUCCAAAAGUUAAAAGGAAGAGUGCGGUUGUGUCAUUGCGUGAGUGCGGAACGUAGGUGCGUAGGUGCGUUGGUGCUAGACUUCUAAUCAAAUGACAGGGGCUCCGGUGUCACCUCGCGGACGAGGGAUUACAAGCAAUCCUUCUAUUCGUUUGCUAUCGAUACCAACAUAUGUAGCGAGCAGAGCAAAUAACUAGGCAGUAGGUGAAGGCGAGACCAACUGGGCUCUGUAAGGCUAAGGCAAAGUAGCACUUUAGCAUCUGGGUUUCGAGUAGCUCAAAGGUUGUUUGUAGUUAUUGUAUGAGAUGAUUGUGUGUUUGACUGAUCCUCGAAUCCUCCUUAUAUAGGGGUUCGUAAUUAAUUGAUAAGGAUGCAAUCCCACAACCUAAGUAGGAUUCUGCUAUCAAAGUUACACAAAGAUCCAUUUUGCUUGCGAACUGAGCAACUGGAUGACGCGUGUCCAAUUACAUAGGUAGACUUAGCUUAGGUCAUAGGUAUUGACCCUUCGCUUAUCGAAAACUUCAUAGUCUCCGACACGGACUCAAAUACUGAAGACAUCCUUAUCCCGCGAGGUGUUACAAUCCACAUAGAAACCCACCUCGCAUGUCUCCAAAAGUCAUGCCCUUAACAAGCUUUAUUUUUAGGGCCAUAUGUACUGGCCCAAAUGCUAUCCGAGACUUUAUUAAUUUAGUCUUAGACCGAAAUAUCUGUUGGGCUCAAACACACAUUGCAUAUGAACUUGAGGCGGAGGCAGCAACGUCAAAUAUACAGUUGCUACAAAAGGUUUAUGGGGCGACGACGAGAGGAGGAGCUGAUUAAUGAUGGAAAGAGAGUCACGUAUAACUUUGCACUGUUCAAGAUCCAACUGUAGGAACUUUCUUUUGAAGGCUUGUUUGAAGUGACGAUCACCUCAACCAAGAAAGUGGGAGGCGCAAAAUGAUUGUGUAGUGAUGCGCUGCUCUUUCCUGAGGGGAUCAGGAAAUAUAGCUUCGCACGACUCUAAAUCAAUGCUAUUCACUACAUAGUCUCAUAAAAAGGUCCACCACGAGCAAAGAUGUACCUACACAUGGGAUGUAGCCCACCCCAAAUUUUAAAAAAACAUAGAUUUCUAUAUAAAUUUUUAGUUCUAAAUGUUAAAAAUUAAAAUCUAGCCCACCAUAAAUUUCUGAUUUUAGCCCAUAUCUUUUUUAACUUGUCAAUUUUUUACAUAAAUUAGUACACAUUAAAAUACAUUUCUAGCUAAAGUUGAGUUCAAAAGGCUAAAAAUUAAAAACUAGUCCAACCUCAAAUUUUCAAAUUUAGCCCACAUGCAGUUAAACUUAGUCCAUAUGUGACAUAAAUUAGUAUACGUUCGUUAAAAAGAAAAUUUCAGCCCACCUAUUAUAAAAUCAUGGAUCCACCAUUGACCACGAGCGUCACUAGGCUUUAAGCUAGUUAAGGCAGAUACAGUGAAACAAGUUCUACACAAUUUAGUUAUCAAUUUUUUCUUUGCAUUUUUCUUUCAAUUGUUAUUUUCUUUUUGUUUGGAUUUCAAAUAUUGUAAUUGCCAAUUCCUCAAACCUUGUACGGUCGUAUGUUUAUUAUAAAACUAAAACUUUUAUGUUUCUAAAAUAAAUAAAUCUUAUAUAAAAGAUAUAACAUAUCUUAAAUACCAGGUAUGUUGAUAUCUAUCCAUAUCGUUUAAGAACUAUUUACUCAAACUUAUUUAAAAAGAAAAAAAGUACUUUAAUUUUUCCCUCAUAUUGAGGUUUUCAAAGAUUUAUCCAAAAAAAGAAAAGGAAAAAAAAAACUGCUUCCAUCAUGAAUUCAUAAAGUUUUUUUUUUGGACUGUUUUUCUCAUUGCGUGACAUCUGUCUAAAUGUAGAUACGCACAUGGGCCAACCUAAGACCCCAAUAAUUUCUGAACCAAUCAAAACUAGAACUAGCAUAAUUAUAUAUCAGAAAUGCCCCCGAUUCCAUAUCCCGAAAUUCCAAAAGCCCUAUACCCGUAAUCCUUAUUGGCUGGAUUGAGUGCCAAAUGGACACAUCCAAGCUUCGGUUUAAUUAAGUUUUGAUUAGCGCGCUAAUCUUAAAGGGCUAAUGAAGAAGAAGAAGUAUAUGUGCAGAGCAGCCGAAAUGUUCGAUCUAUUUUCCAGGUUAAAGCUUCCUUUUGGUGUUCGGUGGCUCUGCAUCUCUCUCUAUCCUUCGACCUUCGUACAAGCACCAAAGAGGUAAUCUUUCUGUGCUCUAAGUGAAUCUGCCUCUCUCUGUCUUUCUGUCUCUCACACACACAACCGUUGUAAUGUUUGUGUUGAUUUUCUAGGUUUGGGUCUAUUUAUGUAGGAAAGUUUCAAUCUUGGAGACAAGAUGGAUUCCAUAUCUCAUCCUAUGUUCCUUUUGGACUGGACAUCUGAUACAAGAUCCAAAGGCUUGAUAGGUACGACGAUAAUAGCAAUAGCUGGUAAGAAAGGAAUUUUUAUUGCAUCGGAUGGGAAAACAUUGGAAAAUGGGGUAGGCACCAGGGGUCAGAUAUUACAAUGGGAUUAUCCAAAAAUAGUUUCAAUUACAGAUCAUAUUAUGGCCACCAUUUGUGCUAGUAUCAACGAGUGUGUGUGGAUUAUACAAAAAGUUACAAAGGCGGUUGAGAAGCUUUCUAAGGUGCCUAUAGAUGUGGUGAGGAAGAAAUUCCGGAGGUAUCUGGAGAAGUGGAAGAAGAAGGAGGAAAAUCUCAACAAGGAAUUUCGGGGGGUGGUUCUGGUGUAUGGCUAUAGGAAUGGUAAACCAGUCAUUUACUCUGUUGCCACUGAUGAGUAUCUAGAAAGUGACACAGGAGUCUUCGGAUGUGGCACUGGUUUUGAGAUAGCAAAAGAAUAUGUAGAGGCAAGACUGAAGAAUCACAAUGGAGAACCAACCACAGGUGAUUACAUUCAGUGGCUCAGUACGGCAGUGGCAGUGGCAGCUCUAUUUGAACCCUGGUCUGGAGGUUAUGUUUACAUGGCAGUUGUUUGGAAAUCUAAGAAAAAGAUGAAAAAGAGAGGAGGACAUUUCACGAGAGGGGACCAUGUGCUGCAAAUUCUGGAAAGAGAUUUUGAUGAUCUGCGAAAGUAUAUGGAGAGGGUGUUUAUGGUUGUAACGUAUAGGAUGGAAUACACUCUCUUCAAUGAAUCAGAGUUCAAGAGAUCUUUUCUUGAUUCUGAUAUGGGAUUUGACAGUGCACACUUGAUUGCUGUAGGUAGAUGCACUGACAAGUACCCUGAUACCGUUAUAACCCGGGUAAUUACAUUUGUUAAUGCUGAGGCUCGGACUUCUUCUCCUUUUCAACCUGGAGACGAUGUGGUUAGGUUUUCAGAUGACAAAUAUGAUUUUGAGUUCUUCAUCCCCACGAAGGAGAGGAUUGCAAACAUGUGCAAGUUUCUAGUCGAUCCAGAAGAAUAGUUUUCAUACUCUUGUCUCAUGAAGAUGAUAGAAAGAAUGCAGACGAGAGUCGACUUUUACAUGUAGGCUUGAGGCUGUGGUAUGGUUAACAAGGUUGUGGCCUGCUGAACAAGUCAAUGUCAGCUUUAAGUACUUUUACAUGAUUUGAUCUUUCAAGUUCUGAAGUUAAACUUCAUGGAACAUGUUGAAUGUACAGUUUUGGAUGAAAGCAAAGAAAUAGGACCUGAUACCACUAGAACUAGAAGUCAAGUAAAACUCUACGUCACUGAAUGUAGUUGGGGGAAAUUCAUUUUGACAAGUACUACAUACAUUCACUCUAUUAUCCAUCUUUCCAGCUAAAUAAUGGAGUGGGAUUGAUUUUUUCAAUAUCUUAAAGCGCAACUACAGUGCUUGUAGCAGACCACCUCCAACUGCAAAUAUAAUUGUCAUCAAGCAACUAAAGCUACAUUUUAUACUUUAUAGUUAUGUUCGGCUUAGAAAACCAACUAAAUGCCAAUAAGAAGAUUCAAUAUCAAUUCUGCAUAUCGAAUUCACUGAAUUUAGUAGGCACUAAUUAGGAGGAAGAAUGGCUUGUUGCCAUUAUACAUCUAUCUGAUACUUUUUAGUGGAAUUCUGGGUAUCUCUUACUCUUAAUUCUGUUACUGUUGACAAUAUAGAGAAAUUUUUUAGCUGCAUUGGAAGUCCUGGGGUUGUUUGUACUCUGGAUUUACCAAGGCAUGGGUAUAUGUUGUGACGAUCUAACAAAAUUAUGUCUCUUUCUAAUGACAAACAAUUGACUAACAACUUUUGUGCUUGAUUAUCGUGAAUAGUUAUUACUGUAGGUCUUGCUUUAAAGCUAGUGACGUGGGACUUUUCCAAAAGGCGCCGAAACAAAAUCAUAAAUUUGGGCUGAUUAUCUAUCUUCUCUGCCAUUUAACUUGUUUGAUAUAACUAGAAUGAUAUUUAGUCAUAAUUCAAAGAGCUGGUUGAGUCAUAGAACCUUUUAAGUUAUAGAAAGAGCUGGUUGCUGAUACUGAUUAGCUCAUGUGAAAUCAAAGUUCUUGUUUCUCUUUUUCUGAUUUGGGGUUGUCAAUCUUAUGCAUGUGUAUAUGACUACAUGCAAAGUUUGGUUCCACUGUGUGCUAUUUGGUUUUUAGCAAUGAUGCAAGGAGAAACAUAAACUCAAUUUUGCAUAAUGUUUAAAAAAUUUGUUUUUUUUUUUUUUUUUUUUUUUUUAAGUUGAAAAUAUUUUAUGGAAGCGGAUAAAAAAUGAGUUUGAAUGGUCUAAAUUAGGGCUGCCACUUGGUUUGGUAAAUACCAAACCGAUCGAAAACCGACCGAAAAUUUAUGAUUUGGUAAACCGAAUUUUGGUAAUCGAAAUAAAAAAAACCGAAACCGAGAAAUACCGAAAAAGUUGGUUUGGUUUUUGGUAAAUACCGAAUUUACCGAAAUUCUAAUUAUUUAAAGACUUAUAUUUCUAAAAACACAUAGACUAAUAAUCUUAUCUCACGUUUGCAAUUGUAUAUACCAUUUAGUAAAAAACAAGACAAUGAAUAGAAAAAUUCAACUAUACUUGGUAGUAUUCGGGUCUCAAUUAAAGCGAUCAACUUUAAUUCAAUGUUACUUGUUAUAUAAAAACGCUCUUACCUACCCGUCUUAGUCGAUUCAUCACACACAUAUAGACAAACCCACUUAGAUGACAUGUAACCGCCCAUGUAAAAAUUUAGGAAUGUUUUUACCUCUCUUGAUGAUAGGGCUCCCCAUAAGAAGCACAAGCGUAAAUAGGGUUAACUGCCUUGAUCAAGGCAAAAAAAUUAUCAAAAAUACCUAAUUUUUCUACCAUAGUCGUAUUUCACUAUAUUGAUCACAUCAUAGUUCACAAGGUUUUUGAAAAUUUUACUUCCUCUUUGUAGUUGGUUCACAAAGAUGUACAUAUGCAUAUAACUUACUAAAAUAACUUACUAAAUAAGUUAUACCACAUUACCAGGUAUGUUGUGGUUCCAAUGAUUACAAUUCACAAAAUUAAAAUUCGACCGUCUGAUGUGAUCAUUAUAGUAUAAUACAAUUAUGAUAGAAAAUUUAAUUGUACUCAAUAAUGCUCGGGUCUUGAUCAAAGCGGUCAACCAUAAUUUAACGUCACUUAUUACACGAAAAAGCUUUUACUGCCCUUAUGUGACUUAUUUUGGUCGACUCUUCCACACACAUACUUUCACAUAGAUGACACAUAACUUGUUCAUAUAAAAAUUUGGAAACAUUUACAUCCUGACUAUUUCGGUAGAAAAUUAAACCAUACUCGAUAAUGUGUACUGAAAUGACUAUCUUUUGUAUAUGUAUUAUCAGACUCUAGAAACUCAAGUGAUAUUUAAAUUUUAUAGUUUUGUAUUGUUUUGUUAUAUUUUGAAAAUAUAUUUGUUGUGAAGUUUAUAUUUGGUAAUACCGAAAAACCGACAUCCGAAGUUGGUAAGAUUUAUCUCAUACCGAAGUUUUUGGUUUGGUAAUUGAAAGUCAUAUUUUAUUACCGAAAGCUUUGGUUUUGAAGUUGGUAACGCCCAUUACCGAUUUGAACCGACCGAGUGGCAGCCCUAGUCUAAAUUGACAUAUAUCUUUGCUAUGGUUAUACUGCAUUUUUAAGCUAUUUGAUGCCUUUUGAAUUCUUCAGAGAAGUCACUGGCUGAGCAUGAAACAAAAGUAUCAGGCGCUCGAUCCACAAUGGCAUCUCACUUGGAAAAUCCUAGGGUAAGAAUGUCUAUGUGUAGUGGAGGGAAAUAGUUUUUUUUUUUGGAUAGUUGGUUUUUUUUAAAAUUAAUAGGUUUUCUACUUCUUGCUAAUACUUGCAUUCAUUUUAAGAGGAUGUUGGAAUUCAUGCUAGACAUGUCAGCACUGUAUCUAGAGUGGAUAGUGGUGAGUUGUAGAUUCUUUACUUGCACGGUUUUAGUCCCUUUGUCUAAUUCCUAACAUCAGUGAUUGAUUUUCCAUUUUUUUAUGUUUGAAGAAUUUUAUGAUGAAUCUGGGAAUCCAAUAUGGAAGAAUCGAGUAGAGAGUUGGAAGGAUAAAAAGAGCAAGAAGAAAAAGGAUGCGCUUAAGGUAGAAAAGGUGGCUGAAAUUCCACCUGAGCAGCAAAUGGCAGAGAAUCUAAUGGCAGAGAAUCUGUAAGUAAUAUUAAAACUUGGGUUAGUAAGAAGAAAUGUGUGAUUUGAGUCAUCGUCUUUUUUGCAGUGCCCCAGUUCCACUUCCGUCUAAUAAAAUCACACCAUACAUAAUAAUAAUUAUGCGACUGAUCAUUUGGAGGUAUAGGGUUGUUGGCAAUCCUUAUAUAGAACAAAACACAAUCUAUGAAGCUUAAAGCAAUUGGGAGAUUGGUCUUGCACAUCUGAAGAACAAGUUGAAGAAGUAGAAGAACCAACAUGAUCUCAUGGAACUCAGGUAAAAUCAUGUAGGUGCAUUUCAAGAUUUUUCACAGAGGAUAGCAGUAUCACUUGCCAUCCUAAAAAUCUGGGUUUCCAGCUUUUUUGAUCUUUUGUUCAGUUGUCUUAUAUUUAAGUUUCUUUACCCUUGUUCCAUAAGAACUAUGUCUGGGUGAGAUCCUCAUUUGAAUUUCAAAUUGACAACUAAGAUAAAAGACAUGCCUUGGUGCUUAAAUUAGUCUAGGGUUUGAUGCCUUUAUCUCAACCCGUGACCCAUGUUUUAGCUUUUAGGCUCCAACUGUGGUUUGUUGUGUCUGUGAUACACAAACCAAUAUUUGCAGCUGUCUUUGUUUGAUAUCAGAGAAAAGUGGUUUGCUAAACCAUUAUGGUAUUAUGCUUUUGGGAAAAAGUUUGCAAAACCUUUGUCUCUUGCUUUUAAAUCAAACAUUGUUUAGGAUAAUUUUGUUUGUAUUUUCUCUUGGCCAUGGACAGCUGCAUAUGUCCUCUCACUUUAUGAGUUUGGCCAAGGACAAAAGUCCAAAACCCUUUCCUUGUUUUGGCCCUUGUGCCUGCCCUCUUGUGGCAUCUCUUUGGCUUGUGUCUCUCUCUUGUUAGAGCACUCCAUCAGCCUAUAUAUAUAUUGAGCAAGGCUGCCUUUGCUCAAUGGUUGUCAAAAUGUAGUUUUUACAUUUGCAUUGUUGGGUUUUGGUUUUCCUUUGCUUUGUUCAUUAGUCUCUAAGUCUUCAUUUUGUGAUUAUAAACCUUAGAGCUGAACAAAACCUUCUCUCACAAAGUCAUUGCAUUAUUGUUGGGUUUUGGUUUUCAUUUGCAUUGUUCAUUAGUCUCUAAGUCUUCCUCUUGUGAUUAUAAANNNNNNNNNNNNNNNNNNNNCAUUGCAUUCUGCAUACCAUGAGAUCAGUUGGUAGUGCAACAACUCCGGAAGUGUUCAUGAAAGAAACAGCUGAGGAUAGCUGAGUUCUGAUGUAUCCCGCUGAGGUAGCUGGGUUCAUGAAAGAAUCAGUUUAGGAUAGCUGAGUUUCUGAGAGUGAAACUUCUGAGAAGCGUUCAAGGUUGAAUCUGCUAGUGGUUAGCUGAAUUCACGAACAAGGCUUCUAAAAAUGUUCCAUGUUGUAAGAGCUUAGAAACAAGAGA
RNAcentral lists this long non-coding RNA (19564 nucleotides) under Fragaria vesca (wild strawberry). RNAcentral describes it as "long non-coding RNA (FVES_LNC002559)". The record is from RNAcentral. Lineage: Eukaryota; Viridiplantae; Streptophyta; Magnoliopsida; Rosales; Rosaceae.